UCCCUUUGACCCAUUAUUGCAGACUUAAAAACAAGCAUGCUUUCAAAUGGUACUAUGAGUUGCCAAUGAUGUAUCACCCCCUUAUCUCAUUAUUCUCUGCUAAAUGUGAUAAUAAUGCGAUCUGUUAACAUAAAAAGUUUGGCUCCACAAAAGCAGCUGGAAAUGGACAACCACAAUAUGCAUAAAUCUGGCUCCUACCAUCGGCUGCACUCUGCUUGACACAUAUUGUUAGAAGCACCUCUUCUUGGUGAGCUCUCGUAAGCAAAAUACUUGCAUUAGGACUCAGCUGGGGUGAGCAUCGGGGCAGUUUGGAAAAUAUUCAGUUCUCAGCAGAAGCCAGAACGUGAAGCCUCAUGUCUUUUAGGAAUCAUUUACCAGAUCUGGAGAGGAGUGUGGCAGCAUCCACAGGUA
Rattus norvegicus (Norway rat) is the source of this 411-nucleotide non-coding RNA. NCBI's taxonomy places the organism in Eukaryota, Metazoa, Chordata, Mammalia, Rodentia, Muridae. The record is from Rfam.